This 301-nucleotide ribosomal RNA is filed under the name uncultured bacterium. Its description in RNAcentral is "partial 16S ribosomal RNA". It matches the Rfam family "Bacterial small subunit ribosomal RNA", at positions 509 to 809 of the family's 1533-position model. The record is from RNAcentral.
CAGCCGCCGCGGUAAUACAGAGGGUGCAAGCGUUAAUCGGAUUUACUGGGCGUAAAGCGUGCGUAGGUGGUUUGUUAAGUCGGAUGUGAAAUCCCCGGGCUUAACCUGGGAACUGCAUCCAAUACUGGCAAGCUAGAGUAUGGUAGAGGGUGGUAGAAUUUCAUGUGUAGCGGUGAAAUGCGUAGAUAUAGGAAGGAACACCAAUGGCGAAGGCGACCACCUGGACUGAUACUGACACUGAGGUGCGAAAGCGUGGGGAGCAAACAGGAUUAGAUACCCCGGUAGUCCCUGUCUCUUAUAU